AGUUACCCAAAAAACCCUAUGAGCGAGAUCUAAGUGACGAUGUGCAAAUGCGCUUUGAACACUUAGUUCUCGCUGACCCUCAAUUCCAUAGCAACAAGGAGAUAAUGUUGGAAAUUGGAGCGGAUAUCUACCCCCAAAUCAUCAGAAACGGACUAUUCAAACCCGACAAUGGUACAGUGGUAGCGCAGAAUACAGCAUUUGGCUGGACCCUUACUGGCACCAUCUAAACCUAAAUUCUGCAAGGUGGCCGGGAUGUUUAAUCCAAACAAAUACUCCUCUGCAUUACUCCCACAAAUUGCAGAAAGUAAUAGAGGCGUAAUGCAGAGGAAUAUCAACCGCCCCAACUUCACGCAACAGGCGAAGAAGGAGA
Bactrocera tryoni is the source of this 370-nucleotide long non-coding RNA. RefSeq lists it as uncharacterized. The transcript is spliced from 2 exons. The record is from RefSeq and is a predicted model, not a curated record. NCBI's taxonomy places the organism in Eukaryota, Metazoa, Arthropoda, Insecta, Diptera, Tephritidae.